RNAcentral lists this long non-coding RNA (245 nucleotides) under Homo sapiens (human). Its description in RNAcentral is "non-protein coding lnc-TANGO6-3:1". The record is from RNAcentral. Lineage: Eukaryota; Metazoa; Chordata; Mammalia; Primates; Hominidae.
CCUCAGUGAACAUGGGGUUCUCUAGAUCAGGCAGGUGGCAGAGAGGAGAUAGUGUGGGUCAGAAUGGGAAGGCCGGCAGCCAUCCUUGCCACCUUUUCUUUCCCCUCCCUCACAUCCCCCUCCCCACCUGCUCUGGAGGAAACCACAGUCACCCUCACCACUAGGGUAGCUCUUCGGGGCCGGAAGUGUUUCCAUUUUUAGGGAAAUGACUUACCUGAGACAUGAGGCAGGAAUCCAUUAGAACU